Aegilops tauschii subsp. strangulata is the source of this 3221-nucleotide RNA transcript. RefSeq lists it as uncharacterized. The record is from RefSeq and is a predicted model, not a curated record. Lineage: Eukaryota; Viridiplantae; Streptophyta; Magnoliopsida; Poales; Poaceae.
GCUGCUUGGUGCCUAGCUGACUCCUGCGCUAGGUCAUGUCUCAUCCUGUGGUGUACCAUUGGCCAUUGCCAUUCUCUCUGGUCUUUUAUCACCAUUUUUUUUGCCGCACGCCGCUGCUCAAGGGCCCGUGUAGACGGACGGUCCCAUUUGUCUGUUGGAUGGGUGUAUGCUGCAUGCGUCUGCCCCUCCCUCGCUGCCGGCGUACUGCGGCUGAUGCACGACUGGACCACACCGACGUGCGAGCGCUGCGGCAUGGUCGCGCGCGAUAGGGCCCCUGAGGACGAGGCGUGCGCGUCCACGAUCCUGGUGACGACUGGAGGGAAGCCCCGGGAGCUGCCGUUCGCGCUGCUGGCGGAGCGGUGGAUGGGGGUGGCCUUGGUGGGGGCCACCAUGGAAUGGGGAUGAACGCGGUGGGGGCGCCGCCGGGGGGCGGAUCGGGGCGGCGAGCGAGCGGGAGAACACACUGCUCUCCUUUGGCCGCGCUGCCGACCACGCGGCCGUCGCCAUGGUCGAGUUCGACGUCCAGCUUGGACUCUCGUCGGCUCGUCUCGCUUCCUUCGACUGUACUCUGCUGCGAUCUAUUGUGGUGACCCUUGUUUGCUUGAUGGGCGACGCUGGUUCAGGUUGUACGAUCUCGCCCGUUGCUGCGUCCACGUUCUGCUCGUUGCUUCGUCUCUGUUUUACUCAUCAAGGUUUGCUGAUCUCCCCUCUGUCUACCUUCCUAUUCUGCUUUCUUUAUGUACUAUCAUGUUGGCUAUCCUACUGGUUGUUUCUGUAUGUACUAUCAUGUUAUCUUAGCCUACUAAUCGUUUGAAUAUAUUUAGCUAUCUUUCUAACAAUAGCCCAUCAAGCUAGAAAUAUUUCAUAAGCAACACUUAUUAUACUAGAGAUUGACGAGUAUGAUAUAAAUAGUUUAAUUAAAUAGCUGCCGUGAUAUGGAAAAUUCAUGUAUUUUCUGUUGCUGUUCAAGAGUAUGCCUGUUAAGAGAUUCAGUUGCCAUGGUUCCCUGGGCAAGAUUCAGUUUUACAUGGAUUAUUCUAGAUAAAUUCAAGUUAUUUGCGUUGGGACACCUAAGCUAACAUUUACACCUUUCUAUUUAGGAGAUGGCAGCAGUAUAUACAAAGUAUAUCACUAAUUAUUUGUAGAGUUCAUUCUUGAUAGGAACAGAACUGUUAUAGCUGAUGUCAACACGUCAAGGUGAGUUUCCAAUCCUUCUUCACUCCUCUCUCCCUCUCUCUCUCACUCUGCAACUCUACAAGCUUAUGUAGUGUGCUCUGCUCCAAUGAUUUUUAAUUGUUGUACAUAAAUAUCUCUUUUUCAUUUCCUAUGCUGAAAGGAAUGGUAAUGCUUAUGUUUUACUAUUUGUAAAAUUAACAUAUGCCAGUUGGCUUCUUCAGGUGGCUUAUUGUUGAUUUUAUUUUCUUGUCCGCCUCUAUGAAUUUUUUGAAGGACUUGUCAAUCCAAUGGAUUAUGAUGCACGAUGUUGAAUUAGAUAUGGCUGCCAGUAUGCAGGCCAUCUUGAGUGUCUCAUCUAGAUCAAUGGGAACAAGAAAGUACACAUAUUAGGAAACUGAAAUGUGACAACACUUAUUUUUGUCUAGAUGACUGCCAGUAUGCACGAUGUUGAAUUUUUGUCAGAAUAGCGUACCUAAACAGUUGGUUGUUCGUCUACAUUAAACACCCAGCUAUAAGAAUGGGUUGACAGCAUUGGUUGACUCUAUUGGCACUUCAAUGUUGUCCCGAUUCAUCAUUUUUUUGCCAUUGAUUUUCCAGAUGGUAUUUCAGAGGCUUCUUAUUAGUGUCUUCCAACUUCCAUACGAAGCAUGAGUGAAUUUCUUGUUUCAAAUAUUGAUUUGUUGAUUACGGACACUAAUUGACACUAUGACCUUGAUGCUUGAUAGAAUUGCAUCAAUGAAUUUCUUCUUUUCUUGUUGCUUUGCUCAAUGUAUAUCUUGGUCUGUUAUUGCGUGACUUUGCAAAUGUAAAACUGAGGCUUUUCGGCCUUGGUAAUUUUGAUUCUUGUCAUGUUUAGGAUUCAGACGGUUCUGAAACCACAUUUAUAGUUUUUAUUUAGGUUUGAGUUGCACAAUAACAAAAUCGAUGAUUGUUUACUUAUGGAUGGUAAUAUAUUUACUUUCAUUGGUUUUGAAGUUAUAAGAAGGUCACCAUGACAAUUGAUAUUAAGGUUUAGUAGUUCUACUCAUUUUUAUUCUUUGAGAUACUCCUCCAAUGCAAUUUAUUUUCAUCGGUUUUGAAGUUAUAAGAAGGUCACCAUGACAGCUGAUAUUAAGGUUUAGUAGUUCUACUCAUUUUUAUUCUUUGAGAUACUCCAAUGCAAUUUUGAUGCAACACUGGAUAUUUCCACAGCUUUAACCUUAUGCCACAAUUGCUUUUGUCUUAUUUCAGUGUGUUUAUUUGCCAUCUUAUGUGCUCAGGACCAAAAGAAUUGCUAAUCUUGCAGUUUUAAUAGACGUACAUUCUACAACAUGGUAAAAAAUAAGGGGAGCUUUUAGACGGCCUGUAGGUUAUCAUAUGAAAUCCGGUUAAAUUUUAGGAAGGUUUAGGAGUAUCUCCCUUUUUUGUAUAAAUUUGGCUCCACAAUUUCUUAAACAAUAGCUAGGUUCUAGAACAAACCUGCUAUGAAUAAUUGCAUUGUUACUUCAGUGAAAAGUUCCCGGGCAUUCUAUGUGUUCCUCUGGACUUGGUUGAAAGUAUUCCUUUUGUUAUCCAGUUUCUCACUAAGCAUGUUACCUUUGUUGCUGAAUUUUGCCUACAGUUUAUGUAUAUUAGACUCACAUGAUUACUUGAUGGUUGAUGUGGAUUCUACAACUUGGAAAACACAUCUAGGAUAUUCAAGUUGUGUGUGGCGCCCGGGAGAAAGCUUGCUAAUCCAUUCAACCACUUACAUGAGAAUCCAGUGCCGCAGGUGACUCAUUCAUGCAAGAACUGUUGUUAAGUUUUUCCUUUUCUCCUUUGAUUCUACAAGCCGCAAAGGAGUGAAGGGUAGAAAAUAUUUCCAUUCUCGUUGAAUUGGUGGGAUUGUCACCAAGUAAGUGCUCUAGAUGUUUCUAUUUUAGAGCAAGAAGCCAAAUCCGCUUGUUCAUUGUAAAUCUUGGAAAACUUGUUGUUUAUUGUCACUUCCAUAUCUGUUAUAAACUUUUGUUGCUGGUGUGGUAUUUUUCAAUCUUGGUUAGCCCAUCCAUUGCAGCAAUGUGCUUGUU